Molecule: small RNA, 235 nt
Filed under: Halobacillus karajensis
Lineage: Bacteria; Bacillati; Bacillota; Bacilli; Caryophanales; Bacillaceae
Description: SR1 sRNA
Rfam family: SR1 sRNA
Source: Rfam by way of RNAcentral
AAACAUAUACUGAAAGCGAUUACAGGAUAAGGAGUGGAUAUGAAUGGGUACCAUCGUAUGUCAAGACUGUCAGAAGGUAAUCGAGCACUACGAAAAUGAAAAGGUCGCUACUCUCUACGGCACAUGUCCAACUUGCAACAAACCAAAAGAGAAAUAAAAAGGUCGGGCUAUUGAUCGGGGACAAAAAAGAAGCAUACAGAAAGAACCAGACGAGCGAGCGUCUGGUUUUUUCUAU